GAGUUUGAUCAUGGCUCAGAUUGAACGCUGGCGGCAUGCCUUACACAUGCAAGUCGAACGGCAGCACGGGAGCUUGCUCCUGGUGGCGAGUGGCGAACGGGUGAGUAAUGCAUCGGAACGUAUCCUGGAGUGGGGGAUAACGUAGCGAAAGUUACGCUAAUACCGCAUAUUCUGUGAGCAGGAAGGCGGGGGACCUUCGGGCCUCGCGCUCUUGGAGCGGCCGAUGUCGGAUUAGCUAGUUGGUGAGGUAAAGGCUCACCAAGGCGACGAUCCGUAGCAGGUCUGAGAGGAUGAUCUGCCACACUGGAACUGAGACACGGUCCAGACUCCUACGGGAGGCAGCAGUGGGGAAUUUUGGACAAUGGGGGCAACCCUGAUCCAGCCAUGCCGCGUGAGUGAAGAAGGCCUCGG
This 411-nucleotide ribosomal RNA is filed under the name bacterium enrichment culture clone ALO1_GLFRUDD03FZ8AG. RNAcentral describes it as "bacterial SSU rRNA". It matches the Rfam family "Bacterial small subunit ribosomal RNA", at positions 9 to 420 of the family's 1533-position model. The record is from RNAcentral.